Molecule: ribosomal RNA, 805 nt
Filed under: uncultured Bacillota bacterium
Lineage: Bacteria; Bacillati; Bacillota
Description: bacterial SSU rRNA
Rfam family: Bacterial small subunit ribosomal RNA
Source: RNAcentral
AGGAGAGUUUGAUCCUGGCUCAGGACGAACGCUGGCGGCGUGCUUAACACAUGCAAGUCGAACGGAGUAAGACGCUGGAAUGAGAGCAGCUUGCUGAAGGAUUUCCUUGUUUUACUUAGUGGCGGACGGGUGAGUAACGCGUGAGUAACCUGCCCUCGAGUGGGGAAUAACGUUCUGAAAAGAACGCUAAUACCGCAUAAUGUAUCAUGACCGCAUGAUCGGGAUACCAAAGAUUUAUCGCUCGAGGAUGGACUCGCGUCCGAUUAGCUAGUUGGUGAGGUAACGGCUCACCAAGGCGACGAUCGGUAGCCGGACUGAGAGGUUGAACGGCCACAUUGGGACUGAGACACGGCCCAGACUCCUACGGGAGGCAGCAGUGGGGGAUAUUGCGCAAUGGGGGAAACCCUGACGCAGCAACGCCGCGUGGAGGAUGACGGUUUUCGGAUUGUAAACUCCUUUUAUAAGGGACGAACUAAGACGGUACCUUAUGAAUAAGCUCCGGCUAACUACGUGCCAGCAGCCGCGGUAAUACGUAGGGAGCAAGCGUUGUCCGGAUUUACUGGGUGUAAAGGGUGCGUAGGCGGCUUGGUAAGUCAGGUGUGAAAUCCAUGGGCUCAACCCAUGAACUGCACUUGAAACUAUCGAGCUUGAGUGAAGUAGAGGCAGGCGGAAUUCCCUGUGUAGCGGUGAAAUGCGUAGAGAUAGGGAGGAACACCAGUGGCGAAGGCGGCCUGCUGGGCUUUAACUGACGCUGAGGCACGAAAGCGUGGGUAGCAAACAGGAUUAGAUACCCUGGUAGUCCCCU